ACCCAGCUGACGAAUCCCAAAUAGGACGAAAUGUGCGUUCUGGAU
This 45-nucleotide non-coding RNA is filed under the name Schistosoma haematobium. Lineage: Eukaryota; Metazoa; Platyhelminthes; Trematoda; Strigeidida; Schistosomatidae. The record is from RNAcentral.